Molecule: transfer RNA, 72 nt
Filed under: Elusimicrobiota bacterium
Lineage: Bacteria; Pseudomonadati; Elusimicrobiota
Description: Elusimicrobia bacterium (microbial mat metagenome) tRNA-Thr
Rfam family: tRNA
About the family: Transfer RNA (tRNA) molecules are approximately 80 nucleotides in length. Their secondary structure includes four short double-helical elements and three loops (D, anti-codon, and T loops). Further hydrogen bonds mediate the characteristic L-shaped molecular structure. tRNAs have two regions of fundamental functional importance: the anti-codon, which is responsible for specific mRNA codon recognition, and the 3' end, to which the tRNAs corresponding amino acid is attached (by aminoacyl-tRNA synthetases). tRNAs cope with the degeneracy of the genetic code in two manners: having more than one tRNA (with a specific anti-codon) for a particular amino acid; and 'wobble' base-pairing, i.e. permitting non-standard base-pairing at the 3rd anti-codon position.
Source: RNAcentral
GCCGGCGUAGCUCAGAGGUAGAGCAGCGGUUUUGUAAACCGUUGGUCGGGGGUUCAACUCCCUUCGCCGGCU